CUUAUUCGAGUCAUCUUGACAGGACGCCGAUGCAGGUAGCGGCGAAGCGGCAGUGGACUUUCGGUGAAGCAGAAGAGAUAAACUGAUCCGUUGGGAUCGAAGUAGUCAAGUAGCAAUCAAUUGUCAGUUUCCGGUAGCAUUCAUCGCGGCUGAGGGGCGCACUCGCAGGUGACAAUUAAAUGGAGUUGUGCGUUGCUUUUUUCUGUCCGCAUCUGCUUCAGUAUAUGUGCCACUUCGUCUCCUGUAGCUCUCCCCUACGCUUGGUAAAUGCAUUUUCUCCUUCCCAGUUAUGAUCCCUCUUUCACCCAACCAUUACAUUGUGUUAUUAUCUUCUCAAUCCCAAUUUUGUACGUGCGGUUCUCAUCCAGGUUAUGGACAAUCUGGGGUAAAUCUUCGACACUCGUUCUGAAAUUUAGAUCAGAGAAUUCUUUCACUCAAUCUUCAAUGUCUGAUGGUCAGGUAAGUACUAUACUUCACGUGGACAGCCAUACCUCACCUUUUCAUGAUUUUGCAUUCUUGUAGAUGUAUUCUUGCUUAGAUUAUGUUUAUAUAUCAUUCAUGGCUGGAUGCCAUGGUACUCUUUGUUGAUAUAUGCGAAAGGUUACAUCAGUAGUGGAGUAUCCGUUGAAGGAGGGGCUUUUUUGGGAUG
This 649-nucleotide long non-coding RNA is filed under the name Triticum aestivum (bread wheat). RNAcentral's name for it is "long non-coding RNA (TAES_LNC021942)". The record is from RNAcentral. Lineage: Eukaryota; Viridiplantae; Streptophyta; Magnoliopsida; Poales; Poaceae.